Small nucleolar RNA from Otolemur garnettii (small-eared galago), 129 nucleotides. NCBI's taxonomy places the organism in Eukaryota, Metazoa, Chordata, Mammalia, Primates, Galagidae. The record is from Ensembl.
CACCUCCUGAUGCUUACCACAGGCUGUGUUCUUACACUGACUAUAGAAAGAGGAGACAGAGUAAACAUACCCCGCUACACCCCAGCCCAGGCCCCAUGCCUGGUCUGUAUUCUGCAUGGGGGAACAUGA